Molecule: long non-coding RNA, 893 nt
Filed under: Bemisia tabaci
Lineage: Eukaryota; Metazoa; Arthropoda; Insecta; Hemiptera; Aleyrodidae
Description: lncRNA ENSSSA2NGG006573
Source: RNAcentral
UUUACAUGUUUACAUCGAGGUUCUUUCGUCGAAGUUAUUGGGAUUUCUUAGGAAUCAAAAGGAUAAAAUUGAAGGAUUUGUGAUCCUUGAAAUUGGGAAGAAUCUGUGUUCAUUUCAAAUGUGUGAUAAGGCGAAGCAUGUACCUGUAAGUAAAUAGGUAUGCAGCAGCAUUCCUUAUCUUCCUCUGACUUAGUUUAUCAGUGAUUAUUCGAUGAAAACCUGUGGAAAUCUACCUUUGAAUUAGAAUUUAAUCUGUGCCCUUUUGGAAUGUGUGAAGAGAUGGAGAAGGAAUCAUCUUUGGACCAACAACAAGCUUGCACUACUGCAGAAGUUGAAGGAUUUGUUAGGACCAUCCGAAGCUCUAGCGAUGAUCAGGCCAAAUAUGCGACCCCUUCCUGCUGUUCCCUGCCAAAGUUGCAUGAAAAAAAUAGGAGUCAACAUGAAAAGAAAGGAACAGAGCCAGUGACGAUGCAAUUUUUCUAAAAAUCACUACUUGAUCCUUGAAUUCUUGGAAUUUGUUUAUUCUUGCACGGAGCGAAGAAUGCCUCAUAGUGUGAAAUAUUUUGGAAGACCAUGUGCAAAGAAGGUACAGAUUAUACUUAUUUUUUGGCAUGCUUAAAUAGAUAAGAACAUUUGUGAGAGGCUUCACGGGGAAAAAAGGUUAAAAAAGUUUUGAUUGGUACGUUUUUUGUUUUUUUUUCUAAAAAAAAAAAAAAUGAAUAAAAAAUUGUUUUUAAUUUUAUGGCACUUUCUUGGUUUACAGAACAAUUUCAGUUCACUCACCCAAAUUGUUUUGAGCCAAGGAAUGUGCUUUUGAAUUAAAUACAAUUUUUCUUUCAAAUUCAAAAACUUUUUUAACAUUUUUAUCAGUAUAUAUUAGAUGCUGCAAUUGA